AUGACCAGAGACAACCUUAGAACAAGACAGAUUAUUAAACCGUUGGACUGUGUUUACUGCUCUGAGGCAGAAACAAGUACCCACCUGUUUUUUGACUGUAUAGUAGCCAAGAAGAUCUGGCCGCUGGUCACUAAUCAUUUUGGGGUGGAUAUUGGGACUGACUUCGAAUCAGUUGGUAAACUCUGGGUAGCAAAUGGAAAAUAUUCCGCCCUUAACACUGUUAGUGCAGCGGUGCUUUGGUGUCUUUGGAAAUAUAGGAACUCUAUCAUUUUCAAUAACACCUUGUGGAUCUCGAUUAAACAGGUGCUGAGACUGGUCCUAAGGACUAUCAAAAACUGGACAGUGCUGUCCUCCGACAAGAAUGCAGAGAGACUGGAGGUCUUCUCAGAUCAUCUUGCGAACUUCCUUCGCCGCCCCUGUUGA
Molecule: ribosomal RNA, 423 nt
Filed under: Triticum aestivum (bread wheat)
Lineage: Eukaryota; Viridiplantae; Streptophyta; Magnoliopsida; Poales; Poaceae
Description: partial small subunit ribosomal RNA
Source: RNAcentral